Non-coding RNA from Lachnospiraceae bacterium 2_1_46FAA, 183 nucleotides. It matches the Rfam family "6S / SsrS RNA". Rfam says of the family: E. coli 6S RNA was the first non coding RNA to be sequenced, but its function was unknown until recently. NCBI's taxonomy places the organism in Bacteria, Bacillati, Bacillota, Clostridia, Lachnospirales, Lachnospiraceae. The record is from Rfam.
ACAGACCUGAAAUGUUCGAUAACUUCUGUUAUUUUGAACCUACAAUACUUUAAACGGGAUUCCUAUAUCUCUGUAAUAUGUCAGGCCUCCAUUCUUGCAGUGGAAGACAGAAAAGCAGAUGCGGUCGCCCACCUAGCGGACUGCUAGGAGUCAAAAUACAGAACCCGGCAUUUUGGGGAUAAC